This 76-nucleotide transfer RNA is filed under the name Flavobacterium columnare. RNAcentral describes it as "tRNA-Phe". It matches the Rfam family "tRNA". From Rfam's summary of the family: Transfer RNA (tRNA) molecules are approximately 80 nucleotides in length. Their secondary structure includes four short double-helical elements and three loops (D, anti-codon, and T loops). The record is from RNAcentral. Lineage: Bacteria; Pseudomonadati; Bacteroidota; Flavobacteriia; Flavobacteriales; Flavobacteriaceae.
GGAUCAGUGGUGUACACGGUGUGCACGCCUGUCUGAAGAACAGGAGGUAUUCGUUCGAGUCGAAUCUGGUCCACAA